Molecule: ribosomal RNA, 862 nt
Filed under: Neopestalotiopsis phangngaensis
Lineage: Eukaryota; Fungi; Ascomycota; Sordariomycetes; Amphisphaeriales; Sporocadaceae
Description: partial 28S large subunit ribosomal RNA
Rfam family: Eukaryotic large subunit ribosomal RNA
Source: RNAcentral
GCCUUAGUAACGGCGAGUGAAGCGGCAACAGCUCAAAUUUGAAAUCUGGCCCUUGGGUCCGAAUUGUAAUUUGUAGAGGAUGAUUUUGGUGCGGUAUCUUCCGAGUUCCUUGGAACAGGACGCCUUAGAGGGUGAGAGCCCCGUACGGUUGAAUGCCUAGCCUCUGUAAAUCUCCUUCGACGAGUCGAGUAGUUUGGGAAUGCUGCUCUAAAUGGGAGGUAAAUUUCUUCUAAAGCUAAAUAUUGGCCAGAGACCGAUAGCGCACAAGUAGAGUGAUCGAAAGAUGAAAAGCACUUUGAAAAGAGGGUUAAAUAGCACGUGAAAUUGUUGAAAGGGAAGGAUUUGUGACCAGACUUUUUCUGGGCGGAUCAUCCGGGGUUCUCUCCGGUGCACUUCGCCCAGUAAAGGCCAGCAUCGGUUUUCGGCGUGGGAUAAAAGCAGUAGGAAUGUGGCUCUCUACGGGGAGUGUUAUAGCCUAUUGUAUAAUACCGCGCUGGGGACCGAGGUUCGCGCUUCUGCAAGGAUGCUGGCGUAAUGGUUAUCAAUCACCCGUCUUGAAACACGGACCAAGGAGUCGAACAUUUGUGCGAGUGUUUGGGUGUUAAACCCUCACGCGUAAUGAAAGUGAACGGAGGUGAGAGCCCUUACGGGUGCAUCAUCGACCGAUCCUGAAGUUUUCGGAUGGAUUUGAGUAAGAGCAUAACUGUUCGGACCCGAAAGAUGGUGAACUAUGCGUGGAUAGGGUGAAGCCAGAGGAAACUCUGGUGGAGGCUCGCAGCGGUUCUGACGUGCAAAUCGAUCGUCAAAUCUGCGCAUGGGGGCGAAAGACUAAUCGAACCAUCUAGUAGCUGGUUACCGCCGA